RNAcentral lists this transfer RNA (61 nucleotides) under Armillifer armillatus. Its description in RNAcentral is "tRNA-His". Lineage: Eukaryota; Metazoa; Arthropoda; Ichthyostraca; Porocephalida; Armilliferidae. The record is from RNAcentral.
GUCCGGAUAGUUUAAGGAGAAUGAAGAUUUGUGGGGUCUUAGGUAUUGGUUGUUCUGGAUU